Molecule: unclassified non-coding RNA, 515 nt
Filed under: Hevea brasiliensis (rubber tree)
Lineage: Eukaryota; Viridiplantae; Streptophyta; Magnoliopsida; Malpighiales; Euphorbiaceae
Source: RNAcentral
AAAAAAUUCCACAUCUUUCCACAUUUUAAUUAAUACAGAGAAGGUACAUUAGGUCAAAAAUGGCGGACGGAAGAGGUGGUGAUUGCAAUAGUGAUACAGCAGUUAGGCCGAUUCGGAAAGUGCUUCUCAUUUCCGCUGGAGCUAGUCACUCCGUUGCUCUUCUCUCUGGAAAUGUUGUUUGCUCAUGGGGAAGAGGAGAGGAUGGUCAGCUUGGCCUUGGGGAUGCUGAAGAUCGAUUUUCUCCAACUCAGGUGAGUGCAUUGGAUGGGCAGGAAAUAGUAUCUCUCACUUGCGGAGCUGAUCAUACAACUGCUUACUCGGAGGCCUUAAAGCAAGUCUAUAGCUGGGGAUGGGGUGAUUUUGGGAGAUUGGGUCAUGGAAACUCCAGUGAUUUGUUCACUCCUCAACCAAUUAAAGCACUUCAUGGUAUACGCAUUAAGCAGAUUGCAUGUGGAGAUAGCCAUUGUCUUGCUGUUACCAUGGGAGGCGAAGUGCAGAGUUGGGGGCGAAAUCAA